GAUGAACGCUGGCGGCGUGCUUAACACAUGCAAGUCGAACGGAAAGGCUCCUGCUUGCAGGGGUACUCGAGUGGCGAACGGGUGAGUAACACGUGGGUGAUCUGCCCUGCACUUCGGGAUAAGCCUGGGAAACUGGGUCUAAUACCGGAUAGGACGAUGGUUUGGAUGCCAUUGUGGAAAGUUUUUCGGUGUGGGAUGAGCUCGCGGCCUAUCAGCUUGUUGGUGGGGUAAUGGCCUACCAAGGCGUCGACGGGUAGCCGGCCUGAGAGGGUGUACGGCCACAUUGGGACUGAGAUACGGCCCAGACUCCUACGGGAGGCAGCAGUGGGGAAUAUUGCACAAUGGGCGCAAGCCUGAUGCAGCGACGCCGCGUGGGGGAUGACGGCCUUCGGGUUGUAAACUACUUUCGCUAGGGACGAAGCGCAAGUGACGGUACCUGGAGAAGAAGCACCGGCUAACUACGUG
Molecule: ribosomal RNA, 465 nt
Filed under: uncultured bacterium
Lineage: Bacteria
Description: partial 16S ribosomal RNA
Rfam family: Bacterial small subunit ribosomal RNA
Source: RNAcentral